CACGGGGUUGCGAGCGUUGUCCGGAAUUACUAGGCGUAAAGGGCAGGCAGGCGGAUCCAUAAGUUUAUCGUUUAAGGCGUCGGCUUAACCGGCGUAGGGCGGUAGAUACUGUGGAUCUGGAAUGCGGUUGGGGAAGACAGAAUUCCUGGUGUAGCGGUGGAAUGCGCAGAGAUCAGGAGGAAUACCGAAGGCGAAGGCAGUCUUCCAAGCCGUUAUUGACGCUCAACUGCGAAGGUGUGGGUAUCAAACAGGAUUAGAUACUCGCGUAGUCCCU
Molecule: ribosomal RNA, 274 nt
Filed under: uncultured prokaryote
Description: partial 16S ribosomal RNA
Rfam family: Bacterial small subunit ribosomal RNA
Source: RNAcentral